This 3105-nucleotide long non-coding RNA is filed under the name Mus musculus (house mouse). RNAcentral's name for it is "long non-coding RNA chr17:83715523-83718628". The record is from RNAcentral. Lineage: Eukaryota; Metazoa; Chordata; Mammalia; Rodentia; Muridae.
GGGCUAGAGAGGUGCUUUACCUCUGACCUACAAUCCCAAGUCACACUGUUUAGAUUAUAUCAUGCAUACUUUUAUUAAAUAAUUACCAUACUGAAAUAAAAAAGAUUUGAACGUUCGCAUUAGCAAACCAUCAGGGUAGUAGGUUUGUUAUUGUUUACUUUCAAUAGUUUCUUUGUGGGGUGGAGAUUCGAGGAAAUUUCCAUUUCAUUGUGAGUUGUUUCACUGGGGGAUACUUUUCUCUCUUUAAAACAACUGGGCAAUGUGUUACGUUUUUGUUUGUUUUUGAGCAUCAACUUUGUGGAUACUCAUGAUUUUCUCGCCUCAAACCUCUUAAGUGUUCCAAAUACAGGUCUUUGUUACCAAAUCCAGCUAAUACUGCAAUUUUAUUUCUGUUAUGACAUAUUUAGAGUAUUAGGUAUAUAAGAAACUAAAAUUUUGCUAGAAAAGGUGCUGCGUUUUAUUUAGAUAUGGAAAAUUCCUAUCGCUAGUACACUUGGUGGUUUCUGUAUUUGUUAUUUUUUUUGGUAGCUUAAAAUGUGUGUGUGCAUGCAUGUAUGAAUGUGUGUGUGCCUGUGUGUGUGUGUGUGUGUGCAUGUGCAUACACAUGCACAUAUGUGGACCAAAGGCCGACAGUGGGAUGUUCUCAUAGUUUUCUGUUGCUGCAAUAAAACACCAUGACCAAGGCAACUUAUAGAAGAAAACGUUUGAUUAGUUUUAGAGUUCCGAAGGAUAGAGUCCAUGCUUUGAGAAGUAGCAGGAAGUCAGUCGGCAGCAGACAUGGCAGGGCGGUGACUGAGACCGCUGUUCAUAUCUCCAUCCACAAACAUGAAGCAGAAUGGCCUGAAUCUUUUGAAAACUUAAAGCCAGUACCCAAGGACACACUUCUGCCCACAAGGCCAAACCUCCUAAUCCUUCCUAAACAGUUCCACCAAACCAGGGACCAGGUAUUCAAACAUAGGAACCUAUGGGGCCAUUCUUAUUCAAGCUACCACAGGUGUGGUAAAAUAAAUUAGGAAAAAUUUUUUUUUUCUGUUUUGAGACUAGUUUUCAUGUAUCCCAGGCUGGUUUUGAACUUACUACAUAAGUGAGUCUGACCUUGUAAUCCUGAUCUUCCCGCCUCCACCUCCCAGGCGCUGGAAUCACUAGUGUGUUCCAUGGCACCCGGGAGUUUGUUUUUUCUCUGUCUCUUUGAGACAAGGUUUCACACUGUACUGCAGGCUUGUAGCCUAGGCUGGCCUCAAACUCCUUGGUCAUCUUCUUGUCUCACUUUUCCAGUCCUGAGAUUGCAGGUGCGAGCCACUAAAUCUGGUCUGAGUUCUUUCUAGAGUCACUAUAGAUAACUUAAUCUCCCUCCAAUUCUUACUUGGCAAAGCUAUUCUUCCAUUAUGCAGCCUAUCUGUUCAUCUGCUGGUUUCCUUUGCCGUGAAAAAAACUUUUAAUUUUAUGCAGUCCCAUUAGUCAAUUCUUUGAAAAGAUUUCCCCCCCUAGGGAAGGGUCUCCCUUUGUAGCUCUAGCUGGCUUAGAACUCCCUGUAUAGACCAUGUUGGCCUCACGCCCACAGAGAUCAGUCUGUCUCUGCUUCCAGAUUUUCUCUGUGUAGUCCUGGCUGUCCUGGAACUCACUCUGUAGACCAGGCUGGCCUCGAAUUCAGAAAUCCACCUGCCUCUGCCUCCCAAGUGCUGGGAUUAAAGGCGUGCACCACCGUGCCCAGCUUUUUUUUUGGCUUUUAUCUUUUGUUUUUCAAGGCAGGGUUUCUCUGUAACUCUGUCUUUCCUGGAACUAGCUCUGAAGACCAGGCUAGCCUCAAACUCACAGAUAUCCUCCUGCUUCUGCCUCCCGAGUGCUGUGAUGAAAGGCGUGUGCCACCACUGCCCAGAUUUUUUAUAUGUCCUAGGGUCUUAUUGCUGUGAAGAGACACCAUGACCAAGACAACUCUUAUAAAGGACAACAUUUAAUUGGGGCUGACUUACAGGUUCAGGGUUUUAGUCCAUUAUCGUCAUGCUAGGAAGCAUGGCAGCGUGCAGGCAGACACAAUGCUGGAGAAGGAGCCGAGGGUUCUACAUCUGGAUCCGCAGGUAGCAGAAGGAGACUGUCUACCACACUGCAAGUAGCUUGAACAUAUGGAACCGAAAAGUCCGCCGCCACAGUGACACACUUCCUCCAAUAAGGCCAUACCUAAUAACAGUGCCACUCCUUAUGGACCAAGCAUUAGAACAUGGGGGGUGGGGAGGCAUUCCUUUUGAAACCACCACAAUGUGUACGAGUGCUUUGCUGCAUGUAUGUAUGUGGAUGAUACACAUUCCUGGUACCCGUCGAGUUCAGAAAAGAAUGUCAGUUUCCCUGAAAGUAGAGAUAUGGAUGGUUGUGAGCUACCAUGUGGGUGCUUGGAAUCCAGUCCUCUGCCAGAGCAACAGGUGCAGUAGCGCACUGUGCCAGCUCCUUCCCACCAGGCAUCCUCAGGUUAUUUCUUUUUGUUUUUUUUCAAGACAGGGUUUCUCUGUGUAGCCCUGGCUGUCCUGGAACUCACUCUGUAGACCAGGCUGGCCUCGAACCCAGAAAUCUGCCUGCCUCUGCCUCCCAAGUGCUGGGAUCAAAGGCAUGCUCCACCACACCCAGCUUGCCCAGGGUUGUUUCUUGAGCUCUUGCAGGACUCUUGUGCAAUCCCUUGCCUAGAUCUCUCAAAGUGUAUUUAGUCUCCGAUUUUCCUUUCAGGUUGCACACUAAGGGCUUUGGUCUGGUUUGGAUUGAUUUUGUGCAGGGUGAGAGAGGCCUCCUGUUUUCCCAGCAUCCUUUGCAGAAGGGGCUGUCCUUUCAUCUUUGCUAAAACUUAGGUGAUUGUUAGGUGUGUGUGUGUGUGUGUGUGUGUGUGUGUGUGUGUGUGUGUAGGGUUGCCUCCAUGUAUGUCAGUGUGCCACAUAUAUGCCUGGUGCCCAGAGGAGCCAGAAGAAGGCAUGGGAUCCCCUGGACCGCAGUUACAGACAGCUGUGAGCUGCCUGUGGUGCUGGGAAUACCCAGGUUCUCUGAAGGAGCAGCCUGUGCUCUAACCACUGAGCCGUCUCAUCAGCUGUGGGCUCUCUACCCAUCCUGUUGUGUUUUGCAGCAGCG